UACGUAGGGGGCAAGCGUUGUUCGGAAUUACUGGGCGUAAAGGGCGUACAGGCGGUCGUGUAAGUCGGUUGUGAAAUUCUCGGGCUUAACCUGAGGCUUGCAUUCGAAACUGCAUGACUUGAGAUCAGGAGAGGAGAGUGGAAUAUGUGGUGUAGCGGUGAAAUGCGUAGAUAUCACAUAGAACACCGGUGGCGAAGGCGGCUCUCUGGCCUGAUUCUGACGCUGACGCGCGAAAGCUAGGGUAGCGAACGGGAUUAGAUACCCCCGUA
RNAcentral lists this ribosomal RNA (269 nucleotides) under uncultured prokaryote. RNAcentral describes it as "partial 16S ribosomal RNA". It matches the Rfam family "Bacterial small subunit ribosomal RNA", at positions 524 to 792 of the family's 1533-position model. The record is from RNAcentral.